CACGAGGGGACGAGCGUUGUCCGGAUUCAUUGGGCGUAAAGCGCGCGUAGGCGGCUCGGAAAGUCGGUCGUGAAAUGCCGGGGCUCAACCCCGGGACUGCGUCCGAUACUCCCGAGCUGGAGGCAGGUAGGGGAGAUCGGAAUUCCUGGUGUAGCGGUGAAAUGCGCAGAUAUCAGGAGGAACACCGGUGGCGAAGGCGGAUCUCUGGGCCUUGCCUGAGCUGAGGCGCGAAAGCUAGGGGAGCGAACAGG
RNAcentral lists this ribosomal RNA (251 nucleotides) under uncultured bacterium. Its description in RNAcentral is "partial 16S ribosomal RNA". It matches the Rfam family "Bacterial small subunit ribosomal RNA", at positions 524 to 776 of the family's 1533-position model. The record is from RNAcentral.